RNAcentral lists this ribosomal RNA (275 nucleotides) under uncultured bacterium. Its description in RNAcentral is "partial 16S ribosomal RNA". It matches the Rfam family "Bacterial small subunit ribosomal RNA", at positions 523 to 796 of the family's 1533-position model. The record is from RNAcentral.
AUACGGAGGGGACUAGCGUUGUUCGGAUUUACUGGGCGUAAAGAGAGCGUAGGCGGCGAGUCAAGUCCGGUGUGAAGGCUUUACCGCUCACCGGAAAGAGGUCAUCGGAAACUGGCUCGCUUGAGUAGGGUAGAGGCAAGCGGAAUUCCUGGUGUAGCGGUGGAAUGUGUAGAUAUCAGGAAGAACAUCGGUGGCGAAGGCGGCUUGCUGGGCUCUAACUGACGCUGAGGCUCGAAAGCGUGGGGAGCGAACGGGAUUAGAAACCCUAGUAGUCC